Molecule: small nucleolar RNA, 107 nt
Filed under: Jatropha curcas
Lineage: Eukaryota; Viridiplantae; Streptophyta; Magnoliopsida; Malpighiales; Euphorbiaceae
Description: Plant small nucleolar RNA R71
Rfam family: Plant small nucleolar RNA R71
About the family: R71 is a member of the C/D box family of snoRNAs containing the C (UGAUGA) and D (CUGA) box motifs. Multiple nearly identical copies of this snoRNA have been identified in Arabidopsis, and it is thought to function as a 2'-O-ribose methylation guide for 18S ribosomal RNA.
Source: Rfam by way of RNAcentral
AAGUUAUGGUGUGGUCACUUCCUCAAUAUGUCUUUCAAUCUCUCUCAAGCUUCAUACAAACUCUCUUGAUCAUGGUGGGCAAAGGUUAUUAUCUCAUUGCUAAGCUU